ACGGGUGAGUAACGCGUGGAUAACCUGCCUGUUAGUCCGGGACAACACCGGGAAACUGGUGCUAAUACCGGAUACGCUCAUUGGAACACAUGUUUUGAUGAGGAAAGGAGCAAUCCGUUAACAGAUGGGUCCGCGUCCCAUUAGCUAGUUGGAGGUGUAACGGACCCCCAAGGCGACGAUGGGUAGCCGGCCUGAGAGGGUGGACGGCCACACUGGAACUGAGACACGGUCCAGACUCCUACGGGAGGCAGCAGUGGGGAAUCUUCCGCAAUGGGCGAAAGCCUGACGGAGCAACGCCGCGUGAGUGAUGAAGGCCUUCGGGUUGUAAAACUCUGUCUUCAGGGAAGAAACAAAUGACGGUACCUGAGGAGGAAGCCCCGGCUAACUACGUGCCAGCAGCCGCGGUAAAACGUAGGGGGCGAGCGUUGUCCGGAAUUACUGGGCGUAAAGGGCGCGUAGGCGGUUAUCCAAGUCACAGGUGAAAACUACCGGCUCAACCGGUAGCCUGCCUGUGAAACUGGGUGACUUGAGGGCAGGAGAGGGGAGUGGAAUUCCCAGU
Molecule: ribosomal RNA, 559 nt
Filed under: uncultured bacterium
Lineage: Bacteria
Description: bacterial SSU rRNA
Rfam family: Bacterial small subunit ribosomal RNA
Source: RNAcentral